This 253-nucleotide ribosomal RNA is filed under the name uncultured bacterium. RNAcentral describes it as "partial 16S ribosomal RNA". It matches the Rfam family "Bacterial small subunit ribosomal RNA", at positions 524 to 776 of the family's 1533-position model. The record is from RNAcentral.
UACGUAGGGUGCAAGCGUUAUCCGGAAUUAUUGGGCGUAAAGAGCUCGUAGGCGGUUUGUCGCGUCUGCUGUGAAAACCGGAGGCUCAACUCCGGAUCUGCGGUGGGUACGGGCAGACUAGAGUGAUGUAGGGGAGACUGGAAUUCCUGGUGUAGCGGUGAAAUGCGCAGAUAUCAGGAGGAACACCGAUGGCGAAGGCAGGUCUCUGGGCAUUAACUGACGCUGAGGAGCGAAAGCAUGGGGAGCGAACAGG